UCGGACGUGGUGCACGGUGCACGGCUGCAUCUCAUCGCAAUGUAAUCUAAUACGCUCUGCGGCAUUUCGGGGUUCGACUCCCCGCGUCCGAA
Molecule: non-coding RNA, 92 nt
Organism: Mycena rebaudengoi
Lineage: Eukaryota; Fungi; Basidiomycota; Agaricomycetes; Agaricales; Mycenaceae
Source: the annotation of a GenBank genome assembly